Molecule: non-coding RNA, 80 nt
Organism: Hysterangium stoloniferum
Lineage: Eukaryota; Fungi; Basidiomycota; Agaricomycetes; Hysterangiales; Hysterangiaceae
Source: the annotation of a GenBank genome assembly
GGCCUGAUAGCUCAGGGGUUAAGAGCACUAGACAUGUAAUCCAAAAUUAGUGGUCACUGGUUCAAAUCCAGCUCAGGUCA